CCCUUAGAUGUUCUGGGCCGCACGCGCGCUACACUGAUGCAUUCAACGAGUCUAAAACCUGGUCUGAUAGGGCUGGGUAAUCUUUUGAAAGUGCAUCGUGAUUGGGAUAGAUGAUUGCAAUUCUUCAUCUUCAACGAGGAAUUCCUAGUAAACGCAAGUCAUCAACUUGCAUUGAUUACGUCCCUGCCCUUUGUACACACCGCCCGUCGCACCUACCGAUUGAACGUUCCGGUGAGACCUUGGGAUUUGGUCUUUGAUACUUUAUUGUGUCGUUGACCGAAAAACUUGAGCAAACCUUAACGUUUAGAGGAAGGUGAAGUCGUAACA
This 327-nucleotide ribosomal RNA is filed under the name uncultured eukaryote. RNAcentral's name for it is "partial 18S ribosomal RNA". It matches the Rfam family "Eukaryotic small subunit ribosomal RNA", at positions 1470 to 1796 of the family's 1831-position model. The record is from RNAcentral.